UACGUAGGGUGCGAGCGUUGUCCGGAAUCACUGGGCGUAAAGGGCGCGUAGGCGGCCUGAUAAGUAGGGGGUGAAAUCCUGCGGCUUAACCGAGGAACUGCCGUCCAAACUGCUUCGCUUGAGACCGGGAGAGGUGAGUGGAAUUCCCAGUGUAGCGGUGAAAUGCGUAGAUAUUGGGAGGAACACCAGUGGCGAAGGCGGCUCACUGGACCGGUACUGACGCUGAUGCGCGAAAGCGUGGGGAGCAAACGGG
RNAcentral lists this ribosomal RNA (253 nucleotides) under uncultured bacterium. Its description in RNAcentral is "partial 16S ribosomal RNA". It matches the Rfam family "Bacterial small subunit ribosomal RNA", at positions 524 to 776 of the family's 1533-position model. The record is from RNAcentral.